GGGAGACACAGGGGUGUCUGGGUGGGUCCAGCAAGGACCGGGCAUCCCUUAGUGACCUGUGAGUGUGUGUUCCGUCCUAUUGCAGGACACCUUUCUUACUGGGAGUUGACAAAGUAAUAAAACCCUUGCUCUAGACCAUAGUUUGCAGAUAUCUUCACGAUGAUGGGUAACCCUCCGCACAAGAGAUGCUCUGGCCUCUGGGUGAAAAAUAAAAAAGAGAUAAUUCAAAUGAUCGAGCACCCAUCUCUUUGGAUUUGGGACCAUCAGAACGUGGGCUCUAAACUGCCAUUGUGGACCGGAAGUAAAACCCGUGAACACAGUGGCACCUGCCAGGAUCAGCCCCGGGAGGUUUGUCCCAGGCCUGCCCCUCUCUGGGCUUGACUGUCAUCUAACCCUCCUUGUGAGAGCCUUGGCUCCCCAGCGAGGCUGAAACCACGUGCAGGGCACGGUCAAGUCCUCGCUGCAGUGAUUCUUCCAGGAACAGCACGGAACGGCUGUUCCACAAAUGCUUUCCUGUGAGUCACGGAGGACCUGGAACACUCCUGAGCCGCGGGUCCCCACGCAGUGAGGACAGGGCAGGAGAGAAAGCCCACGUGUGGGUGUUCCUGUCUGGGCACAUCAGGAGUGCAGGGCGCCAGGGACCAGCUUGCAAGAAUCAGUGGGAACCCCUCCGGUCCCUUCGUCGUGGCGCGGCUGUCCCCACCGGGAACUCAGAUCCUUGGUCCGUGGCAGCUCCACCCAUAAGAACAGAGUAUGCUCCAUCUUCCAGGGUGGAAUAAAAGGGACACUCUCCUUUCUGAAAUCCUUUUAUGCUCUUGAAAACUUUUCACGCCCAACUGGCAAUCUCUGUGUGCUUGGGGAGUAAUUACCUUGCGUGCCUUUCUUUAAGUGAGGUCCUUCUAGGCGUCUUUGUUAUAGACUGUACCUUUUCUCCUCACCCCCUCACACCCCAGGAGGCUGGGCUUAGCCUCUGCUAGUGAGGCCUUGAUUGCUACUUUGUCAAGUAUCACUUAUCACUUUAUGCUUUAAAAUGUUUAAAGUGAAAUCAGAUCAACACGAUGGGAACUUUCAUAUGUUGUGGGUACAGCCUUAAAAAGCAAAAAUAAAUAAAUGAAUAAAUGCAUUGGUAAUAUAUUCAAAAGAUAUAAAAGCUAUAAAAUGAAAAUCUUUUUUUUUUUUUUUUUGUCUUUUCAGGACCACAUCCGUGGUAUAUGGAAUUUCCCAGGCUAGGGGUUGAAUUGGAGCUACAGCCGCUGGCCUAUGCCACAGCCACAGGAAUGCCAGAUCCGAGGUGUGUCUUCAACUUACACCAUAGGUCACGGCAACGCUGGAUCCUUAACCCACUGAGCAAGGCUCAGAAUCCAACCUGCAUCCUCAUGGAUGCUAGUCAGAUUCGUUUCCACUGAGUCACGAUGGGAACUCCAAAAAUGUCUUCUUUUGUAUAAUAUAUAUUGUUUCCAAGUUUUCUUCAUGUUGAUAUUGCUUGUCUUUGAGGAUUAUGAGCGAGGUAUUUUGUGAUGUCUCUUAGUUUGAGUGUGUAAACCCAUGCAGUGCCUGGUGGGGAGAAAUGGCAUAGAAAGGAUGCUGUGUUCGUCUUCUGCACCUUCACAGGUGGCCCGUGAAUUGAAUCUGUCCCAUUAGUGAAGAGGUCCACUCUGACCGCUCGAUCCAUCAAUUAAGGGAGUGUCUUCCAAUUUUCUCCAUUGUAAGUUACUUUCUCCCCUUGGGAGGCAUGAGGAAUUUGUGGGAAGAUAACUCUGAUUCAUGUCAAUAUUCUUUUCCUUUUCAAACUUUCCAUUUUUAUUUGUUGAUUUACAUGAGUUCGUUUUUUUAUUGAAUAAGUUGUAUGAGCUGUUUGUAUGUCUUGGAAAUUAAGCCCUGGUCAGCUUAAGAUUUUCUUCCAGUCCAAGGUUAUCCUUUUAUUUUGCAGAAGCUUAUAAGUUUGAUUGGAUGCCAUUUGUUUAUUUUUGCUUUUAUUUCUAUUGCCUUGGGAGAUUGAUCUAAGAAACCAUUGCUACGAUUUAUGGAUUUACAUGAGUUUGGACUCUUGUUUUCUUAUCUUAUUCAGUGGGUUAUAAUACGCUACUACCACUAUUUAUUUUGGAGCUCAAAUAGUCCCAGAUUUAGCUGGUGGGAGCCCCUUCCAGGUGGCGUCUGUAUCUUUUGAUGUCAGUAUCUCUACCUCAUGGGGCAGGUUUGAUCCUUGGCCUGGUGCAGUGGUGUAGGUUGCAGCUGCAGCUCAGAUACAGUCCCUGGCCCUGGAACUUCCGUGUGCCACAGGCGCAGCCAAAACAAGGAAGAAAGGUCUCUAUCUCCAUUUCCAUGUCUCUCUCUCUCUACCUAGGGAGACAGGGUGCACACAGAGCGAAGCAUGUCUCCAUUUGUAUUUUUCUAUGUUUACCCGUAUUCGUACCAACGCUUUCAUUCCAAUCCAUUAACAAUGCAAGGUUCAUUCUAAAUCUGCUCUUUUCUCAUAUUUGUAUCUCUCCUCCGACGGUGAAAAGCCUGGCUCUGUUUACACCUUGUACAUUUUUGGAUCAGUUUUUCUGUGUGUAGCCGACACCCCUACCUGCUGCCACUCCCUCCCCUGUGUGGACACUGUCCUCAUCUGUUCAGGCUCUGACACCCAGGUCUCGGCACCACAGCUUCCCCACCCUUGGCCUUGGCAAAGCUGCUGGUCCUGUCUACCCCCAUCUGAGAACUUUGGGACAGAACUGUUCAGGAAGGGAGCGGGAGGAGGAAGCAGAAGAGAAGGAGGAGGAGGGGCAAAGGAUAUCUGAACGCUGAUUUUGUUCCCAUCCACCUUAUCGACUCUUACUUUCAUUUAUAUUAUUUUCCCAAGGACCUCAGGUAGUCAGUCACAAAGAAUAGUAAUGUUACCUCCCCUUUCCAACUCUCAUACCUCCUUUCAUCUCAUCUAACUGUGCUUCGUGUUUUCGGGAAGGGAUCAAGCCUUACCAGGGAUGGAGACCUUAUGGGAACACUUCUUUCCUGUUCCUGCUUGUCAUAGUACUUCCUGGCAUUCGAGUAGAGACGGGGACUCUCAUCAGGGUGGUCUUUCUAAAAGGUAACCUGAUCACCUGGCACCCCCCCCCGCCCCCGUGUCACACCUUUGGAUGCAUCGACAGAGGAGUGGGUAGAGGAGAUGUGGUGCAGGUGCGCAGUGGGCUCUUCCUCAGCCAUAAAAAAGAAAGAGACGAUGCUAUCUGCAGCAACAUGGAUGGACACGGAGGUUAUCAUACUAAGUCAGACGGAAAGACAAAUGUCAUAUGAUAUUUGCAUGUGAAAUCUAAAAAAAUGAUACAAAUGAUCUAUUUACAAAACGGAAAGAGUCUCACAGGCAAAGAAAAGAAACUUACGGUUAUCAAAGGCGAAAGGAGGGUCGGGAAUAAGGAGCUGAAUGACUUUGCUGUAGGCCUGAAAUCAAAACAUCGUCAAGCAACUGUAUUUCAAUAAAACCUACGCCACGGCUCAUUGCAACGCCAGAUCCUUAACACAGUGAGUGAGGCCAGGGAUCAAACCUGCACUCUCAUGGAUGCUAGUCGCAACAGGAACUCCCAGUAGUUUUCUUUUUAAUAAAGAGUGGACAUUGGGGAGUUUCCGUCAUGGCUCAGUGGUUAACGAACCUGACUAGGAACCAUGAGGUUGCGGGUUCGAUUCCCCGCCUUGAUCAGUGGGUUAACGAUCCGGCAUUGCUGUGAGCUGUGGUAUAGAUCACAGAUGAGGCUCGGAUCCCAAGUUGCUGUGGCUGUGGUGUAGGCCGGUGGCUACCGCUCCGAUUGGACCCCUAGCCUGGGAACCUCCAUAUGCCAUGGGAGUGGCCCUAGAAAAGACAAAAAAAUAAAGUAAAAUAAAAAGUGGACAUUGGAUAUAGAAUUUUAAAAAUCGAAUUACUUACUAGCUCCUUAGAUAAUCAAAUGAUUUUUCACUUUUGAUCUAUUAUUUUAAGUCUCCUCAUUGACGAGGAAGCUUCUGAUGCAGUGGACUCUCGCGUAUCACUUGGUCAGGAGAGGUGACACAGAGAUGGCAUGGCAUUGAGGAUAUCUCCUGCUCCCUCUCUCCCUCUCCCGCCCCCACCCUCCCUCUCUCCCUCUGUCAUGGCAGCUCACCUUGGUGAACAUCUUAGAUUUGCAAAAACUGAAAAAUAAUCAGUGUCUUGAGCAUCUUUGGCCCAUUUUCUAGAACGCAUCUGGGUACGGGACUCCCAUGUGACAGUGUGAGCAGCCAUCAGCCUUGGUGAGCAGUUGGGCGUGUUAGGCUCUCUGCUUAUGCCUCAUCUGACAGCUGGGGUGUCCCUGGGGUUCAGAUGCCUUGUGCCUAGUGCAGUCGCUGGCACGGGGGCUCCGUACAUUUUUGAUGGUGAUGAGAGAGAGAGGAAUUAUAGGCAGUCUCCUGGGAAGUCCCACCAGCAUCACUCAAGUGGAACCGGUUGGAUGUUUGUUUUUAAAUUAUGACAUUUUGGCGGUAUUGUGCCCCGACUGUCUGUCUUUGGAAAAUUAAAGUGGUGAACUGGUAAUGACACACACAGAGUAGAAAAAGUGAUUGGAAGUUAGAGAAGUUAGGCCUCCUGAGAAGAGACAAAAGUCGCUCAGGUUGUGUGUUCCUGCCCUUGUGGGGGUCCCCGCUUUCCUCUGAAACCAGGGGGUGGGCAGUCGUGUGCUGACCAAGGCCUCUCCCGGGCCAGAGGGACCCAGAUUCUAAGUGCAGCCAGCCAGCUCUGGGAGGGCAGGGCACAGGAGUUACUGUGGGUAAAACUCGCCCAGCUUGCUGCAGGUUCCAUGGUGAGGGAGGGGGCUACAUUUGUAGGGAGGGUUUAGAGAUAAAACGAAGAAUUUCUUGGCAAUAACAGAGAGAAAAUAAUGAGAUGGUUUUGCUGGUAGAUUCCAGGCAAAGAGGCCACUGCAUUGGAUGCGCGGGUUUCCACCUGCCAGGAAACCGGGUAACUACCAUGUGGCUGGCACUCUGGCUGUCCCCGCUCUGCCUUCUUCCAACUUGGUGACUUGCUAUGUGUGACCCAGGGGUUUGAAGCUUGAGCUGAAUGCACAGCAUCUGCCCUCAAAGUGCUACCUGCAAGGUGCCCACGGGGCUGUUGCUGAGAGAGCACAGGGUAGGCACAGCUCCGAAGAGGGGCUUUCCUGUGGCCCAGGUGGUCAGGGGGUGAUGUCUGGCCUGUGUGCGGAAGUUCCAGGGAGGGGCAUCUAGGCCAAGAGGGAUGCGCCUGCCAGUGAUGCCAGGGUCUGCCUCUGCUGGGCACCAGUGGUCCUAUGGCAUCGUUGACGCUCCCUGGGCCUUGUUCUUUUUUUGCUAAAAUCACUUGCCCAUUUUCAUGCUGGACACUUUGGAUAAAACUUUCACCACAGUCCCUGCAGUUGGCUUUAUCCCGCCUUCUUAGAUGAGGAAAUUAAGACCCAAAGAUGUGAAACCCCUUGUGACAGUCACAUGUAGCGAGGAGGAAGUAAAGCCAGGCUUUGACCUUCAAAUCUUUUGGCUCUCGCUGGCUUUUAAAGUGCCAGCUCGUCCUCCGUGAAAAUGAAGGCGCUGGAGCACACUAGGCCUGCAUGUGUGGCAAGGGCAGAUUGCCUGGGGAGAUGUUCUGGAAACUAUGAAGCACUUUUCAAAUGUAAAGUCUGGAGUUCCCGUUGUGGCUCAGCAGUUCCCGUACAGCUCAACCAGUAUCCGUGAGGAUGCGGGUUCCAUCCCUGGCCUCGCUCAGUGGGUUACGGAUCCAGCGUUACGGUGAGCUGUGGUGUCGCUUGCAGAUGCGGCUCGGAUCUGGCAUGGCUGUGGCUGUAGGCCGGCAGCCGUAGCUCCGAUUUGACCCCCUAGCCUGGGAACCUCCAUAUGCCGCAGGUGCAGCCCUAAAAAGACAAAAAGACAAAAAGACAAAAAACAAAACCAAAAACAAAUGUGAAGUCUUGGUAAAUGAGGCAGAUUUACUUUACAGCCAGAGGUUCUGAGCUGCCCUGGAUCAGGAGUAAGACUGUUUUGCCUCUUUCUUCGUGUAAGUGUGUAUGUCAGCAUGUGCGUGAGUGUUUGUGUGUGUGUAAGAGAAAGGGUGAGGAAGAAACCACACAAAUCUUGAUGAAUUGCUUGAACAUGUUCAUUUUCAAGGGUGGAAAGGUUGGCUGCUUUCUUGCCAACAUCAGAAAAUGUUCCAUUCUGGCCCAUUGCUGUAGUUCUAAGAUCAGGUAGCUAGAAUAAUAAUUACAGCUUACGGGUGUGCAGACUCGUGCUUGUGUUGUAUUUUAAAUUAUGGAAUAACCAGGUUCAACGUACAGAAGGGCAUAAGCUGCGGGGCAGGUACUGGCUCACUGGCCAUAAAUGUGCCUCUGGCGGGUAUGCAAAGGCUUUUGGCCACAAGCAGGUGGCUUUCCCCCGCCAGGGAGUACGGUCGUGGCUUCCUUUUUUCCUUUUUUUUUUGGUCUUUCUAGGGCCACACCCGCGGCAUAUGGAGGCUCCCAGGCUAAGGGUCAAAUGGGAGCUACAGCUGCCAGCCUACACCAGAGCCACAGCCACGCCAGAUCCAAGCCGCAUCUGCGACCUACACCACAGCUCAUGGCAACACCAGAUCCUUGGCCCACGGAGCCAGGCCGGGGAUUGAACCUGCAACCUCAUGGUUCCUAAUUGGAUUUGUUUCCGCUGGGCCACGACGGGAACUCUGGUCAUGGUUUUCAAUGACUGGGUCAUCUGGUAGGUCUUGUGAACCUGAAUCUGUACAUAAAACCACGGAGUCGGUGGAUCUCUUGCCUUUGCUGGUGGUUUAGGACCCUGUGUGACGUGCCCGCAGCCCACCUGGGGGCCACGCGUCUGACUCGUGUCUUCCGGACACUUUACCACGUGCGCUGACAUCUCGUAGCAGGUGAUCCGUGUCUGGAAAAAGAGAAACUUGGGUCUCUUCAUGUCGUCUCUCGGGGCCUGAUGGAAAACACGUUUCUCCGUGACUUUGUGCAAACGUUCUCUCCCACCUGAAUCGCGCGGAAAAGCUGAACAUGGUGAUGGGGAGUGAUUCAGGGGUGGGCAUUCCCGGACACCAGCCGGGUCACCCGGGAGCCUCUCUCCUGCUGGUGGCCUGGCUGUGCGGGCCAUUCUGGCCACUGAGUCAGAGGAGACCCAGCCCACUUGCACUGUGGCUCCUGAUGUCACCAUCGAGGGUUAAAGGUCCUGCCCUGGAGUUCCCGUUGUGGCUCUGUGGGUUAAGAGCCUGACGUAGUGUCCGUGAGGAUGUGCGUUCAAUCCUUGGCCUCACUCAGUGGGUUAAGCAUCUGGCCUUGUCACAAGCUUCCACUUGUGUCUUGGAUCCCAUGUUGCCGUGACUAUGGCUGUGGCCGACAGCUCUAAUUUGACCCCUAGUCUGAGAACUUCCAUAUGCCUCAGGUUCAGCCUUAAAAAAAAAAAAAAAAAAAAAAAAAAAAA
This 7413-nucleotide long non-coding RNA is filed under the name Sus scrofa (pig). RNAcentral's name for it is "lncRNA (ENSSSCG00025019947.1)". Lineage: Eukaryota; Metazoa; Chordata; Mammalia; Artiodactyla; Suidae. The record is from RNAcentral.